This 116-nucleotide ribosomal RNA is filed under the name Propithecus coquereli (Coquerel's sifaka). Lineage: Eukaryota; Metazoa; Chordata; Mammalia; Primates; Indriidae. The record is from RNAcentral.
GUCUAUGGCCAUACCACCCUGAAUGUGCCCGAUCUCGUCUGAUCUCAGAAGCUAAGCAGGGUCGGGCCUCAUUAGUACUUGGAGGAUAGACAAUACAUAAAUGGGUGUGAUGUUCC